This is a non-coding RNA of Malus domestica (apple), 2984 nucleotides long. The record is from RefSeq and is a predicted model, not a curated record. NCBI's taxonomy places the organism in Eukaryota, Viridiplantae, Streptophyta, Magnoliopsida, Rosales, Rosaceae.
UUUUCUUUCUUAUUCCCGUUCCCUCUUCUCUGUCGCUCUCGGUUUGUUUUUCCUUUUGUUCUCCACUGUCUGCUUCCCUUUCGUUUUCUUUUGUGUUUUGGUCAUCUCAGCCCCGCUUUUCUCGCUUUACAGCUACUUCCUUCUCUGGACAGCUCUUUGUGGCAUAUGGUGGUUUAGUUGCACCCUGCACACAUGCAGCUCAAGGAUGACCCCAAAUUGUUCCUCCUGAAAUGAUGUUGUGUUUAUUUGUAAAUUUUGCUGCUCAUCUGCAAUUCACCUUUUGUCUUUUGAUAUCUUUUACAGGUGCAAAACGCCAUAGAGUAUUUAAACAUCAUCGGGGCCUUGGAUGAGAACGAGAAUCUGAUUGUUUUAGUUCUAUACUAAACUAAAGGAAACAACCCAAAUGAGUCUUUCCAUCAGGAUCGCCCAGUCCACCAAGAGCCUCCAACUUGAAACCAAACGGGCAAAAAACAAGUAGAGAUAAUGUGUGAUCAUGAUGAAAAGAUUAACAAGUUAGCAUUUGAGGUUAUCGAGAAAGCCACUCCGGUUUCAAGGCUCACCAUGUUCUCCUCUUGCAAGUUCUAUAAGCACUAGGUGGAUCAUAAGGUCAAUCAUGUGCGAAUUCCGUUGGCAAUCACUUUCAGAAACCACUACAAAGGUUACUACCCAAAAACCCUGCUCAGCUGCAAAUAAAGGCCCAUCACUGACUGUUAAGAAGGCAUACAUUAACAGCUCUGAAUCUAAAGAGAGCUCUGAAUCUGAAGAUGAGGUUUGUGUUCAUGCUUAAAUAUUUGUAUCAUCUGAAAAACUUGCCUUUACAUGUUCUAUACAGUUUUGAAACACAAAAUAGCACACCUUUGUUUAUCUAUGGAUAUAUUUCCAAAAUAUUUUAAACACUCACGGCAACGCGUGGGCACUUUUUCUAGUGUCAUCUAAGGACUAAUUAGUUGCAAUGAUGCAAGGGUCGGAGACACCACACAUGCCUUGUGGAUAUGUCUUUGAUCAUUGGACAAUGUGACAAAGUACAUGGCUCAUCUUGGGCCUGUUCCUAGAGCAUUGUUAAGGUCGUUAAUUUAUUCAUAGAGACAUGUGAUUGUACAAUAAAGGAUCUUUAACCUUCCAUAGUGGAAUAAAAAUACUCUAAAAUAUGAUUCGAGAGUCUUGGCAAAAGCAUAUGAAUAUGACUUAGGAAGAAUGUUCCAAAUCAUAUUCACAAGAAUCAUAUAGAGAAGUAUCACGUUGGAUAGUAGACAUGAAAUAAAUUAUUAACCAAACAAUUUGGUCAAGAGUAUUGAAUUAAAGUGGGACCAUAUUUCAUUGUAGUUGUAACUAAAUAGGUUAUCUAACUACUUCUACUUAACUUGGGUAGCCAUGAUAUACUGCUAGGUGUCAUUAAUAGUUUGUCAAAGCCCUAAAGAUUAGCAAUCACUAAUCUUCAUCAUAGGCAGAAUAGAAAAUAAGUCAAUUCACAAUCGAUUAUAAGAGGUACAAUCUCUCACUGCCUCGCUGAUUGGGAACCUAAUGGAUCGUACACCAUAUAAUGAAGAACAUGAAGAAAUAUAAAUAAGAUGGAUAAGAUCAAUUAAAUAGUUUAAUUGAGUAUAGUGAAGUUCCAUUAAUAAGUUAAUUAAUCAUACGAAUAAGUUUGUAUUGGGCUCUAAAAUAGUUUAGGGUUUUCGAGGCCCAAUGGCUUUGCUUCAGAAGGCCCAUUAGGCUUAAGUUUAUGACAACUUAAGACCAAAGGAACAAAAAUCCCAAUAUUAAAGGGCAAGGCGGGCUAUGCUAGAGGGUAGAGACUAAUACACCCAUGCCACUCAAGUUAGAGUGACUGUAAAAGGGGUGUUAUAACUACAACCUCAUUAGGAUUGUUAGAGUAUAAAACUUGGAGGUACAUUCUCUCCUUUUCUCUCUAUAACAGCCCGGCCACUGUAGGAGGAUAAUCCUCCUUUAGUUCUUCCAUCUCAUCUUCACAUCUCACCCUUGGUGUGAGUUAGAAGCACUAUCCUUUUGAUGCUUGAAGAAUCAUUUCAUCAAAUCCUCAAGGAGCAGAGGAGCAAGGAAUGAGCAAAGAUCCAAGGAUUCAAGGAGUUAAAUCCAUGGAGCAUAAGAAGAAGAUUGAAGGUCCUCGCAUGGGUGAAAACCUUGUGAAAACAAGAAUGAACUUCAAGGGUAUGAAAGCUCAAUCUUUCUUCUUUCUUUUAUGAAAAGAGUCUUGGUUCACCUCAAGCCCUUGAAUUUCAUGGGACCUACAUUUGUUUUGAGUUCAUGCUUUCAUUUGAUUGUUAAUAUAUUCAUGUGUUGCUCAAAUAAUCUCUACAUAGCCAAAGCUUUUCCUUCAAACCAGGCAUCGUGAGUUUGAUUCAUAUUACACUAUUGUCACAGUGGCGUAAGUUUGAUAAGCGUGCGCUUUAUAUAUUAAAUGUUAGGACCGUGUACCUUUUCUUUUCCCUUAUUUUAUGAUUAGUCACCUCUUUAUUAUAUAGGCAUCUCAGUUAUGAGUUCAAUUUUGAACUCAAAAAUAAGAAUUGCUCUCCUUGCACUCAAAUUUUCCCGGCCCAAUGUAAGAAUUUGAUUCCCAACUAAUUUUAGGGGUGUGCUAUCCAUACAACCUUUUUUACUUCUUACACACAUCUUGUUACUUUCUGUCAUUUGAUCUGACGGCCGGAAAUUGAGAAGGGUAUGUGAGAAGUAAAAAGAGGUGUGUAGAUAGCACACCUAAUUUUUUCACACAAUUUUCCAGCUCAUUGUGAAAGGACUAAUUUAUGAGGAAGGCAAUUGGAACCGGAGUACAAUGGACAGACACCUCUAUCCAUUAUCCGUCCCUCUGUGGAAAGCCUAAUAUAUGAGAAGGGCAAUUUGAACUUGGGUGCAAUUAGCUUGUUUAUUAUCCAGAAUGAAUUGUUGUAGUGGCGAUUUUGCAAAGCAAAAAUGAGAUGUUUAUUUAAUUUUAAGGUGGAGAUUUUCACUCCUCCAUUCGUAAUCCA